RNAcentral lists this ribosomal RNA (670 nucleotides) under uncultured Alteromonadales bacterium. Its description in RNAcentral is "bacterial SSU rRNA". It matches the Rfam family "Bacterial small subunit ribosomal RNA", at positions 56 to 718 of the family's 1533-position model. Lineage: Bacteria; Pseudomonadati; Pseudomonadota; Gammaproteobacteria; Alteromonadales. The record is from RNAcentral.
UGCAGUCGAGCGGUAACAGGAGUAGCUUGCUACUCGCUGACGAGCGGCGGACGGGUGAGUAACGCGUAGGAAUCUGCCUAAUAGUUGGGGAUAGCCCGGGGAAACCCGGAUUAAUACCGAAUACGCUCUACGGAGGAAAGCAGGGGAUCUUCGGACCUUGCGCUAUUAGAUGAGCCUGCGUGAGAUUAGCUAGUUGGUGAGGUAAUGGCUCACCAAGGCGACGAUCUCUAGCUGGUCUGAGAGGAUGAUCAGCCACACUGGGACUGAGACACGGCCCAGACUCCUACGGGAGGCAGCAGUGGGGAAUAUUGCACAAUGGGCGCAAGCCUGAUGCAGCCAUGCCGCGUGUGUGAAGAAGGCCUUCGGGUUGUAAAGCACUUUCAGUAAGGAGGAAAGGUUAAGCGUUAAUAGCACUUAGCUGUGACGUUACUUACAGAAGAAGCACCGGCUAACUCCGUGCCAGCAGCCGCGGUAAUACGGAGGGUGCGAGCGUUAAUCGGAAUUACUGGGCGUAAAGCGUACGCAGGCGGUUUGUUAAGCGAGAUGUGAAAGCCCCGGGCUCAACCUGGGAACUGCAUUUCGAACUGGCAAACUAGAGUGUGAUAGAGGGUGGUAGAAUUUCAGGUGUAGCGGUGAAAUGCGUAGAGAUCUGAAGGAAUACCGAUGGCGA